GAUGAACGCUAGCUACAGGCUUAACACAUGCAAGUCGAGGGGCAGCGGGAUUGAAGCUUGCUUCAAUUGCCGGCGACCGGCGCACGGGUGAGUAGCGCGUAUCCAACCUUCCGUACACUCAGGGAUAGCCUUUCGAAAGAAAGAUUAAUACCUGAUGGUAUGAUGAGAUUGCAUGAUAGCAUCAUUAAAGAUUUAUCGGUGUACGAUGGGGAUGCGUUCCAUUAGGUAGUAGGCGGGGUAACGGCCCACCUAGCCUGCGAUGGAUAGGGGUUCUGAGAGGAAGGUCCCCCACAUUGGAACUGAGACACGGUCCAAACUCCUACGGGAGGCAGCAGUGAGGAAUAUUGGGUCAAUGGACGAGAGUCUGAACCAGCCAAGUAGCGUGCAGGAUGACGGCCCUAUGGGUUGUAAACUGCUUUUAUAAGGGAUAAAGUGGGAGUCGUGACUCUUUUGCAUGUACCUUAUGAAUAAGGACCGGCUAAUUCCGUG
This 489-nucleotide ribosomal RNA is filed under the name uncultured bacterium. RNAcentral's name for it is "bacterial SSU rRNA". It matches the Rfam family "Bacterial small subunit ribosomal RNA", at positions 28 to 507 of the family's 1533-position model. The record is from RNAcentral.